AGCUCACAACACAAAAUUUUAUUCUUUUAUUUUCUCUCAAAAAUUUCUUCACGAAAAUUGUCGGGAAUAUUGCGUAGAACGUUAAACUCUAUUUGCAUGUACGAUCAAGAUCCAGCGAGUUUUGUCGCGGAAACCGGCGAGCGAAGGUUUUGAUAUUUCAACGGGUGAUAUUUUUAUAUUUGGAAUAGGCGAGUACUGUGAGUGUGUUUACAACUUAUACUGCUAAAUAUUAGUAUUAAAAAUAUUGCGAACUGCUUUA
Long non-coding RNA from Mercurialis annua (annual mercury), 259 nucleotides. RefSeq lists it as uncharacterized. NCBI's taxonomy places the organism in Eukaryota, Viridiplantae, Streptophyta, Magnoliopsida, Malpighiales, Euphorbiaceae. The transcript is spliced from 2 exons. The record is from RefSeq and is a predicted model, not a curated record.